RNAcentral lists this ribosomal RNA (253 nucleotides) under uncultured bacterium. RNAcentral describes it as "partial 16S ribosomal RNA". It matches the Rfam family "Bacterial small subunit ribosomal RNA", at positions 524 to 776 of the family's 1533-position model. The record is from RNAcentral.
UACAGAGGGUGCAAGCGUUGUUCGGAAUUACUGGGCGUAAAGGGCGCGUAGGCGGCCUGUUAAGUCGAACGUGAAAUCCCUGGGCUCAACCCAGGAACUGCGUCCGAUACUGGCAGGCUUGAAUUCGGGAGAGGGAUGCGGAAUUCCAGGUGUAGCGGUGAAAUGCGUAGAUAUCUGGAGGAAUACCGGUGGCGAAGGCGGCAUCCUGGACCGAGAUUGACGCUGAACGGCGAAAGCUAGGGGAGCAAACGGG